GCCGGCGUAUCCCAACGGCAGAGGAUGGGGUCCUAAACACCCCUCAGUGCGGGUUCGAGUCCCGCCGCCGGCA
This 73-nucleotide transfer RNA is filed under the name Chloroflexota bacterium. RNAcentral describes it as "tRNA-Leu". It matches the Rfam family "tRNA". Rfam says of the family: Transfer RNA (tRNA) molecules are approximately 80 nucleotides in length. Their secondary structure includes four short double-helical elements and three loops (D, anti-codon, and T loops). Lineage: Bacteria; Bacillati; Chloroflexota. The record is from RNAcentral.